This 450-nucleotide ribosomal RNA is filed under the name uncultured bacterium. Its description in RNAcentral is "bacterial SSU rRNA". It matches the Rfam family "Bacterial small subunit ribosomal RNA", at positions 29 to 524 of the family's 1533-position model. The record is from RNAcentral.
AACGAACGCUGGCGGCAUGCCUAACACAUGCAAGUCGAACGAAGCCUUCGGGCUUAGUGGCGCACGGGUGCGUAACGCGUGGGAAUCUGCCCUUGGGCUCGGAAUAACAGUUAGAAAUGACUGCUAAUACCGAAUGAUGUCUUCGGACCAAAGAUUUAUCGCCCAAGGAUGAGCCCGCGUCGGAUUAGCUAGUUGGUGAGGUAAAGGCUCACCAAGGCGACGAUCCGUAGCUGGUCUGAGAGGAUGAUCAGCCACACUGGGACUGAGACACGGCCCAGACUCCUACGGGAGGCAGCAGUGGGGAAUAUUGGACAAUGGGCGAAAGCCUGAUCCAGCAAUGCCGCGUGAGUGAUGAAGGCCUUAGGGUUGUAAAGCUCUUUUACCCGGGAUGAUAAUGACAGUACCGGGAGAAUAAGCCCCGGCUAACUCCGUGCCAGCAGCCGCGGUAAU